This is a long non-coding RNA of Coregonus clupeaformis (lake whitefish), 797 nucleotides long. RefSeq lists it as uncharacterized. The transcript has 3 exons. The record is from RefSeq and is a predicted model, not a curated record. Lineage: Eukaryota; Metazoa; Chordata; Actinopteri; Salmoniformes; Salmonidae.
AUUAGGAGAGAAUAUUACAUUUAAUGUAACCCUAAGCCCCCCAGAACCACCUAAAACAGUCACCUGGAAUUUUGUUGGAGACACUAUAAUAAUUCUAUCUGGUGGCACUGAAACUGUAUUUGGUGAUUACAAAGGCAGGAUCACCCUGUCUAAAACUACUGGAUCUCUGGAGCUCAGGAAUCUGUCCCUGGAUGACAGUGGAGAAUACACAGUGAAUAUUAAUACUGCUGCAGAUGUAUCACUGAAAAAAACUACUAGACUGAAAGUAUUUGAAAGAAUAUCUAAUGUUAACAUCCCUAAUCCCACAAACCUGCCAAUUAUCGAGGGGAACUAUGUCACCUUAACCUGUGAUGCUUCUGGCUCCAUCAGUCCCAGAGAGUGGAUGAAGGCUGGUCAGCCUCUGUCUCCUAGUGACAAUAUUUUAUUCUCUGAGGAUAAUAAGACAGCAUCUAUCAACCCUGUGAAGAGAACCGACAGUGGGAUUUACAUGUGUCGAGUCAGCAACCCUAUCAACUCUGAUAAUGCCAAAUAUAAUCUGACUGUAAACUAUGGACCUGAUGGUAUAGAAAUCAAGGGUCCAACUGAAAUAGAAGUAGGACAGAAGUUUACAUUGACCUGCUCUGCUGACUCCAUACCGACUGCUAGUUACACCUGGAUGCACAAUGGGACAAAGAUACCUGGACAUUCACCUGAGCUCAUUUAAGGGAAGAAUGAAUACUUUGACAGUGGGAAUUACACCUGUACAGCAACAAAUUAUGUCACUGGGAACAACACAUCUGCGGUCCAUGAACUGUCAG